AGUUAUUAUCAUCAACUUUAAAAAUAUAAUUUUUUUUGCACAAAAAGUCAACACACAACGUGUCAAAAUAAUGUCACUCUCGCUUGACAGUCGUUCAAGUGCCAGCAUGGCGGAUCGAAAACAGACAAGAGAAGUCAUAACAAUAUUAUCAUUGUGUAUAUUAUGGUAUUUAGUUAGCGGUACAAACAAUGUUAUUGGUAAAAUGUUACUUAGCGAUUUUCCAUAUCCAAUUACUGUUACAAUGGUACAAUUAUUAUCAAUCACUGUUUAUAGUGGUCCAUUUUUAAGUUUGUGGGGUGUUAGGAAGUAUGUGGAUAUAUCGUGGAGUUAUUUUUUUAAAUUAAUAAUACCAUUAGCAUUUGGUAAAUUUUUUGCAUCUGCAUUUAGUCAUUUAAGUUUAUGGAAAGUACCUGUUUCUUAUGCACAUACGGUGAAAGCUACGAUGCCGUUAUUUACAGUUGUAUUGUCACGCAUCAUUAUGGGCGAAAAACAAACUUUAAAAGUAUAUUUAAGUUUAAUACCAAUUAUAACUGGUGUAGCAAUUGCAUCUUUAACAGAAAUAAGUUUUGAUUUAAUUGGAUUACUAAGUGCUCUCGCGUCGACUAUGGGCUUCUCAUUACAAAAUAUUUUUUCAAAAAAGGUGUUACACGAUACUGGGAUACAUCAUUUACGAUUACUUCAUUUAUUAGGUCGGAUAUCGCUUUUUUUGUUUAUACCAGUUUGGUUAUUUAUUGAUGCUGGCAACGUCAUUAAAGAUCCUGCUUUGACUUCAGGAGAAUAUAAAGUAAUUGCUUUAUUAUUAACUGACGGUGUUUUAAAUUGGUUACAAAAUAUAAUCGCGUUCAGUGUAAUUUCAUUAGUAACACCAUUAACGUAUGCUGUAGCAAGUAAUAGUAAACGAAUAUUUGUGAUAUCAGUAUCAUUGUUGGUUCUGGGUAAUCCAGUUACAUGGUUGAAUAUUUUUGGAAUGAUCACAGCAGUUUUUGGAGUUUUAUGUUAUCAAAAAGCCAAAUAUGAUCAAAGAAAAGUAGAAAAAACAAAAACAUUAUUACCAUUUAGUCAACAAAAUUGGCAAAAGAAUACUGGUUACUCAAUACUACCAUCCAAUGGCUACAUCAAUAAUAACGACCACAGAAACAGCAGUAAUGUUCAUAAUCAACAGCAGAAUGGAUAUGCGAAUGCUACAUUAAAUGAAUUAUAAUUUGAACAUUUGAACUGGUUGUCUGGGUACAUGGAUUUUUUAUCUUGAUAAUAACUUGUUUAUACGAAAUUGGAAAGAAAUGAUGAAACAGCAGAUGGAGACAAUGAAAGCACCAACAAACAGUAGUGGUUAUUUUUUUGAAGUGGAUAUUUAAAAAUGUUUCACUCAUUAAAGGUUGCUUAUAAAACAUUGUAAAUGAAACAAAGUGUGAACUACUAGACCCGAAGAUAAUGAAGUGUUAACGUUUUUUGAUGAGCGAAAGGCGUAAUCACGUGUUGUGAAAGUUGAAAUUCAUAAAAGAAUAAACAGAGAUACACAAGAAUUAGAAAGACUUAAUCAAACGCCCCGACUACGCCUAUGUUUAAAAUACAAUAAACGAUUUUAGGAUUGUGGAUCCAAUUAUUAAAUUAAACAAUAGAGUAGUUGACUAUUAAAGAUGUAGAAACAAAUAGUUUUGUAAAAACGAAAUUAUUUUAUUGGGCGAUGUUGUAAAUAAAAUUUAUUUUUUUAUACUCAUGGAAUUUCAUUCUGAUAAUUUUUACAUAGUACUUUUAAUUAUUUACAAUUUUUAACAGAAAAUAUUCUUUAUUUAAAUCCUCCUUUUAUUUAUAUUUAUAGAAUGCUACAAGAUUGCAAUUUCUAAAUGGAUACAUCAUAAAAUUAUGCAAUGAUUUUAAACAUUUCAAUAAAUUAAUAUUUACUGCUUAAAGUAAUUUAUAAGGAUGAAUAAAUCUACAAGCCGCGCCGCUAUAUCAUCUCGAAAGUUUAUGUGAUAAUGUGUCCACUUGAGAAAUACAGGUUCGUGUUUAUAUUCGUUAUGAUAAAAAAAAUUAGAAUAUGUCAUAAAAUCCAAACUGAAGCAAUUUAUUUAUACACGCAAUUUUUCAAUAGCAAUAUUUUCAUUACAAAUGAUAAUAAAACUUUUUAAUACCCCUAAAUUUGAUUGCUUAAAAGUUAUGUCAGAAAGCUUUACCUAUAAUUUUACUACAAAUUUGUGAUUAAUUUUUGCUUAUUCAUGUUUAAAAUAUGACCGCUAAAUUAAAAAUUUAAAAAAUCAGUCAACUACCCUGUUGUAAAUUUAGGCUAAAUAAACUUUUGAUAUUUUGUAGAACGAAAGUGCGUUACUUUGUUCAAUCAAGCAUAUUUACAGAAAUAAGUGAUAUAACUAAUGAGACUUCAGUCUAAUGAGUUAGUAUUUUACCAUGACAUCAUAUGCGAAAGUUGAAUAAGUGAAUGUUGAAGUAUUGCAUAACAUUUAUAUCCCAGAACAAGAAGUUAAAUUUUAUUGGUGUGUUGUAGUAACACAACGGAUCAACACGUUGUUUUCAA
Molecule: RNA transcript, 2530 nt
Organism: Chrysoperla carnea
Lineage: Eukaryota; Metazoa; Arthropoda; Insecta; Neuroptera; Chrysopidae
Gene name: solute carrier family 35 member E1 homolog
Exons: 7
Source: RefSeq, a predicted model, not a curated record